Molecule: small nucleolar RNA, 79 nt
Organism: Callithrix jacchus (white-tufted-ear marmoset)
Lineage: Eukaryota; Metazoa; Chordata; Mammalia; Primates; Cebidae
Gene: U3
Rfam family: Small nucleolar RNA U3
About the family: Small nucleolar RNAs (snoRNAs) are involved in the processing and modification of rRNA in the nucleolus.
Source: Ensembl
AAGACUAUACUUUCAGGAAUCAUUUCUACAGUGUGUUACUAGAGAAGUUUCUCUGAAUGUGUAGACAAAAAUAAAAAUU